AAAUUUUGAGGUUAGUUUCAGAAGAAAAGUAAUAAAGAAUUUUAUUUGAGGUUAGUUCUAUGAUGGAUUGUGGAUUCAUUGUGAUUUACCUCGUUUACCUUGGAAUUGCUUCAGUUUAAAACUACAAUCAUGACAUCAGAAAUUAUUAACACGGAUUCACUAGAGAAAGAUGAGGAUACAUCUGACGAUGAAAAUGGUUGGGAGAAAGCUUUUGCUUUGCGAGAGAAUGGCCUUUGGGAACCUGAACCUGAAGUAAUGUUCAAAUAUCUAAUGGAACUGGAAAGCAAAGGCUAUUGUGAGUUACAAUGGGAAUGUCCAGGACGAAGACCUCUCACGCCUCAGGACACCGAUGACAGGUCAGACGAUCACGAAAACACCACUGGUGAAGCGCAUGAAGAAGAUAACUCUGAUUUUGAAUUCAAAGAUGAAAUGUCUCAGUUGAAGCUUCCCGUCCGUCCUGCAGGUGAGAAUCCUGGCCCAAGGGGUAGUGCCAAGAAAAAGACUACUAGCUUGGAUGCCAUCCUCUCAAACAUGGCAAGGCAUAGGAAAUUAGAUAUGAUGGAUCAAGACGAAUAAUGAUGCGGUUGGAACGACGAGGAACAAAGCCAAGAUGAUCUGAAGAUGUGGGUGGAUAACGAUGAAUUCAAGUGGAGUCCAACCACCAGGAGCCCAAGUCACACCUCCUAGCGCUAAGUCUCAACUUCACGCAUUCAUUCGCUCAUUUUUUAUCUGAUGUAAGGAGACACAUGUGAAUUUUUUCAAAUGGUUUCAUACUGCCUUGAGAGAUAGUACUUUGAACCACUUUUCACCAUUAGAUACCACGCAUUCAUUCGCUCAUUUUUUAUCUGAUGUAAGGAGACGCAUGUGAGUUUUUUUCAAAUGGUUUCAUACUGCCUUGAGAGAUAGUACUUUGAACCACUUUUCACCAUUAGAUACGGUAUUUGGGAAUAUUGCACUUCAAACUUCUAUUUUCAUAAUCUUGCCGGUCUUUAAUAAGAGUGAUUGAAUGACAUUCGUUAUGAUUAUAUUAUUUGUUAUGAUGUAGGCUACUUUAAUAAUGAACUAUAAUGUUGCUAUGUUACCCUACUUCUAGUAUAUUAUAUGAAAUCUUCCCUAUUUAAUUCAGGUUAUUGACGCAUAAAAAAAUUACUUUUAAAAUUAGCGUAUCUUGAAUGUCCCACAAAUUAUUGUACAUAUAUUUUUUAAAUUUUUAUGAUCAAGUUUUCGUUCUUGAGAUCACAUUUUUCAUGAUUUGUUGCUAUCAUGUUUCUAUUUCAUGAAAUUAUGUGAAUAAAAUAAUAUUAUCCACUUUUAUCGCCAUUUUUCUAUUCGUUUAAUCUUUCCAUGUGAUGCAAACUCAUAUAAAAGUAAUAUAACAAUUUGACAACACUACGGAGGAACUAUAAAUGGGAGGAGUAGGCCAAAUCAGCGUUGUGAAAUGACAGACAAGAGUAGCGAAUCAGGUGCUGAUUUCAUAAAGUGAAUAUCACUUUUAUGUACAGGAAGGCAGUAUGUAACUAUAGUAAUAAUACUCUGUGGGUAUUUCCUUUUUUUGAGUAGCAGAGUAGCCAUGCAUUUUGAAAAGCUGGCUUCAAUUGGGUUUAAGUAAUAAAAAAUCAGAUAUUUUUUGAGAAAAUAUUUUCUAUAAUUUUCUGGUUACAAUAAUAACUACAAUAGCUUUCAUACUAGUAAGUCAAAUGAAACAUUCAUAUAAAAGUACAGCUUCCAUUUAUACAGGUUAUAAAAUCGAUUCAAACUUUGAUUUAGUGUUGUAGUUGAAAUGGUAGUGUAGGAUGUUAGGUAGAUAAUAACAUAAAUAUCUAAAUUUCACGUUUCUCUAAAAUAGUGGGACUUAUAGAUUGGAAGUUUAGAAUUAAUGACUCUUGAAUACGUACAAUUAAAAUACGUUGAACCAAUAAAUUUUCAGUUCAUAUAAUCUUAAAUAUUUUGCUCUAUCAUAUCCAUUUUACUUAUCCUAAGUUAGUUUUGAUUUGCUUGGAUUUAACCAAUUUUUUUCAUAUUACCAAUAUUUUUACUUGUAACUUUCUUACAAAUAAAGUUUUCUAAUUUCUAUAAAAA
Molecule: long non-coding RNA, 2079 nt
Organism: Nilaparvata lugens (brown planthopper)
Lineage: Eukaryota; Metazoa; Arthropoda; Insecta; Hemiptera; Delphacidae
Exons: 2
Source: RefSeq, a predicted model, not a curated record